This is a small nuclear RNA of Armigeres subalbatus, 140 nucleotides long. RefSeq annotates it as U4 spliceosomal RNA. The transcript has a single exon. Lineage: Eukaryota; Metazoa; Arthropoda; Insecta; Diptera; Culicidae. The record is from RefSeq and is a predicted model, not a curated record.
GCAGUGGCGAUCAGGCGAUAUCGUAACCAAUGAGGUACAACCGAGGUGCGAUUAUUGCUAGUUGAAAACUAUUAAACACCAGAUUCAAUAACAUUGUUUAAAGUGUUACAAACUAGUGUAUUCUAAAAAUAUCUAAGUAG